RNAcentral lists this ribosomal RNA (1696 nucleotides) under Escherichia coli. RNAcentral describes it as "partial 23S ribosomal RNA". It matches the Rfam family "Bacterial large subunit ribosomal RNA", at positions 1251 to 2925 of the family's 2925-position model. Lineage: Bacteria; Pseudomonadati; Pseudomonadota; Gammaproteobacteria; Enterobacterales; Enterobacteriaceae. The record is from RNAcentral.
UGAAGGUGUACUGUGAGGUAUGCUGGAGGUAUCAGAAGUGCGAAUGCUGACAUAAGUAACGAUAAAGCGGGUGAAAAGCCCGCUCGCCGGAAGACCAAGGGUUCCUGUCCAACGUUAAUCGGGGCAGGGUGAGUCGACCCCUAAGGCGAGGCCGAAAGGCGUAGUCGAUGGGAAACAGGUUAAUAUUCCUGUACUUGGUGUUACUGCGAAGGGGGGACGGAGAAGGCUAUGUUGGCCGGGCGACGGUUGUCCCGGUUUAAGCGUGUAGGCUGGUUUUCCAGGCAAAUCCGGAAAAUCAAGGCUGAGGCGUGAUGACGAGGCACUACGGUGCUGAAGCAACAAAUGCCCUGCUUCCAGGAAAAGCCUCUAAGCAUCAGGUAACAUCAAAUCGUACCCCAAACCGACACAGGUGGUCAGGUAGAGAAUACCAAGGCGCUUGAGAGAACUCGGGUGAAGGAACUAGGCAAAAUGGUGCCGUAACUUCGGGAGAAGGCACGCUGAUAUGUAGGUGAAGUCCCUCGCGGAUGGAGCUGAAAUCAGUCGAAGAUACCAGCUGGCUGCAACUGUUUAUUAAAAACACAGCACUGUGCAAACACGAAAGUGGACGUAUACGGUGUGACGCCUGCCCGGUGCCGGAAGGUUAAUUGAUGGGGUUAGCGGUAACGCGAAGCUCUUGAUCGAAGCCCCGGUAAACGGCGGCCGUAACUAUAACGGUCCUAAGGUAGCGAAAUUCCUUGUCGGGUAAGUUCCGACCUGCACGAAUGGCGUAAUGAUGGCCAGGCUGUCUCCACCCGAGACUCAGUGAAAUUGAACUCGCUGUGAAGAUGCAGUGUACCCGCGGCAAGACGGAAAGACCCCGUGAACCUUUACUAUAGCUUGACACUGAACAUUGAGCCUUGAUGUGUAGGAUAGGUGGGAGGCUUUGAAGUGUGGACGCCAGUCUGCAUGGAGCCGGCCUUGAAAUACCACCCUUUAAUGUUUGAUGUUCUAACGUUGGCCCCUGAUCGGGGUUGCGGACAGUGUCUGGUGGGUAGUUUGACUGGGGCGGUCUCCUCCUAAAGAGUAACGGAGGAGCACGAAGGUUGGCUAAUCCUGGUCGGACAUCAGGAGGUUAGUGCAAUGGCAUAAGCCAGCUUGACUGCGAGCGUGACGGCGCGAGCAGGUGCGAAAGCAGGUCAUAGUGAUCCGGUGGUUCUGAAUGGAAGGGCCAUCGCUCAACGGAUAAAAGGUACUCCGGGGAUAACAGGCUGAUACCGCCCAAGAGUUCAUAUCGACGGCGGUGUUUGGCACCUCGAUGUCGGCUCAUCACAUCCUGGGGCUGAAGUAGGUCCCAAGGGUAUGGCUGUUCGCCAUUUAAAGUGGUACGCGAGCUGGGUUUAGAACGUCGUGAGACAGUUCGGUCCCUAUCUGCCGUGGGCGCUGGAGAACUGAGGGGGGCUGCUCCUAGUACGAGAGGACCGGAGUGGACGCAUCACUGGUGUUCGGGUUGUCAUGCCAAUGGCACUGCCCGGUAGCUAAAUGCGGAAGAGAUAAGUGCUGAAAGCAUCUAAGCACGAAACUUGCCCCGAGAUGAGUUCUCCCUGACUCCUUGAGAGUCCUGAAGGAACGUUGAAGACGACGACGUUGAUAGGCCGGGUGUGUAAGCGCAGCGAUGCGUUGAGCUAACCGGUACUAAUGAACCGUGAGGCUUAACCUU